UCACAUGACUCUCGGCAACGGAUAUCUCGGCUCUUGCAUCGAUGAAGAACGUAGCAAAAUGCGAUACCUGGUGUGAAUUGCAGAAUCCCGUGAACCAUCGAGUUUUUGAACGCAAGUUGCGCCUAAGGUCUUUUGGCCAAGGGCACGUCUGCCUGGGCGUCACGC
This 165-nucleotide ribosomal RNA is filed under the name Chloris formosana. RNAcentral's name for it is "5.8S ribosomal RNA". It matches the Rfam family "5.8S ribosomal RNA". From Rfam's summary of the family: 5.8S ribosomal RNA (5.8S rRNA) is a component of the large subunit of the eukaryotic ribosome. It is transcribed by RNA polymerase I as part of the 45S precursor that also contains 18S and 28S rRNA. The record is from RNAcentral. Lineage: Eukaryota; Viridiplantae; Streptophyta; Magnoliopsida; Poales; Poaceae.